UGCACUAUGGAGUACCUGCUUGCAGCGGAGGCUGAGGACCAGAGCGCAGUCGCAUGCUAGCAACAUACUUUUUCGUGUUGCUUCCUCAUCUCCAAGGCAACCUGUGAAUUGGGCAACAUUUGCACUAGGGCAGCAAGGAAUAAGCUCAGCUUCUUGGUCAUGAUGGUGCCAUGAACAAUUCUUUCACACUGGUCCAAGCACGGAGUCCUCACCACUCGUCCCACUGGCCGACCACUUCACCACUCGUCCCGCUGGCCGACCACUUCACCACUCGUCCCGCUGGCCGACCACUUCACCACUCGGCCCGCUGGGCGACCACUUCACCACUCGGCCCGCUGGCCGACCACUUCACCACUCGGCCCGCUGGCCGACCACUUCACCACUCGUCUACGAGCAGACUGCGAUCCAACUUGUAACUUUUUUGCGAUUGAAU
Syngnathus typhle (broad-nosed pipefish) is the source of this 433-nucleotide long non-coding RNA. RefSeq lists it as uncharacterized. NCBI's taxonomy places the organism in Eukaryota, Metazoa, Chordata, Actinopteri, Syngnathiformes, Syngnathidae. The transcript is spliced from 3 exons. The record is from RefSeq and is a predicted model, not a curated record.